GAUGAACGCUGGCGGCGUGCUUAACACAUGCAAGUCGAACGGAAAGGCCCAAGCUUGCUUGGGUACUCGAGUGGCGAACGGGUGCGUAACACGUGGGUGAUCUGCCCUGCACUUCGGGAUAAGCCUGGGAAACUGGGUCUACUACCGGAUAGGACCACUUCUUGGAUGUUGUGGUGGAAAGUUUUUUCGGUGUGGGAUGAGCUCGCGGCCUAUCAGCUUGUUGGUGGGGUAAUGGCCUACCAAGGCGUCGACGGGUAGCCGGCCUGGGAGGGUGUACGGCGACAUUGGGACUGAGGUACGGCCCAGACUCCGACGGGAGGCAGCAGGGGGGAAUAUUGCACAAGGGGCGCAAGCCGGAUGCAGAGACGCUGCGUGGGGGAGGACGGCCUUCGGGUUGUAAACUCCUUUCGCUAGGGACGAAGCGUGUUGUGACGGUACCUGGAGAAGAAGCACCGGCUAACUACGUG
RNAcentral lists this ribosomal RNA (467 nucleotides) under uncultured bacterium. RNAcentral's name for it is "partial 16S ribosomal RNA". It matches the Rfam family "Bacterial small subunit ribosomal RNA", at positions 28 to 507 of the family's 1533-position model. The record is from RNAcentral.